RNAcentral lists this ribosomal RNA (450 nucleotides) under uncultured bacterium. RNAcentral's name for it is "bacterial SSU rRNA". It matches the Rfam family "Bacterial small subunit ribosomal RNA", at positions 328 to 792 of the family's 1533-position model. The record is from RNAcentral.
GUGCCAGACUCCUACGGGAGGCAGCAGUGGGGGAUAUUGGACAAUGGGGGAAACCCUGAUCCAGCGACGCCGCGUGAGUGAAGAAGUCUUUCGGUAUGUAAAGCUCUAUCAGCAGGGAAGAAAGAAAUGACGGUACCUGAGUAAGAAGCCCCGGCUAACUACGUGCCAGCAGCCGCGGUAAUACGUAGGGGGCAAGCGUUAUCCGGAAUUACUGGGUGUAAAGGGAGCGUAGACGGUAAUGCAAGUCUGGAGCGAAAGGCGGGGGCCCAACCCCCGGACUGCUCUGGAAACUGUGUAAUUGGAGUGCAGGAGAGGCAGGCGGAAUUCCUAGUGUAGCGGUGAAAUGCGUAGAUAUUAGGAGGAACACCAGUGGCGAAGGCGGCCUGCUGGACUGUAACUGACGUUGAGGCUCGAAAGCGUGGGGAGCAAACAGGAUUAGAUACCCGCGUA